UUGAGCAACUUGAAAUGAAGUGAAAUGAGUGACCAAUGUGAUUUUUCCCAUCUUUAAAAAUGCUUCAUGUUCUUGGCAGUCGAAGGAUUGCGACAUCCCUGUUUUAUCUUCUUACCCAAAUAAAUCUCUCCAUGCUUCCUGCCUUGCAGGCAAACUAGGAUCUGGACAUUGCUGAAGAAAUUUCCAGGAAGGAUUGUCUAUAAUUUUAGAGAUAAUGAUUGAAUACAAGAAAAUUGUUCUUCUAAAAGGAUUUGAGAGCAUGGAUGACUACCAGUUUAGAACAAUCGAAGCCUUCCUAAGAGCAAAAAUCUAACUAAUAGAAUGGAGCAUGAAUAUGACAGAAUGCAGAUAGCUGACCUGAUGGAGGACAUAUUCCCAAAAGCUGCUGGACUGGACACACUGAUAGCAGUGUGCCAAAACUUGAGGAACUUGAAGACCUUGCACAAAGACUUAAAAUAGAAAAAGCAAAAGAUAACAGAGUAGCACACUGAACAUACAUCUCUUUUCCAACUUUCCCAAACUCCUUGCAGUGGUCAGAGAUGAUGUGUCACUUUCACAUUGUGGUUAGAAAACAUGUGGUUAAAGCAUUUCAGAUGUUAACAAGUGAUGAUUUUGAGAAGUCCUUUCUCACAAAGGAACUUGGUAUGUUUCUGGGUAGACAUCUUUUACUUUUGAGGUCAUCAAUGUCAGAAGGAAUGUCUCUUGGCGCUGAUAGAGUUAUGAAAACCUCCCUAGAAAUCCUCCUUCUCUUGAGCUCCAUGAAAGGAGCUCCAAACAAAAACUGGGGCCGUUGAGCCCCUUUCCUAGUGUUGCACAUGGUUGCUCUUCACACAUAUUCCUGUCCGGGUCUGUACUGUCAAUUGUCAUGAAUAAAGUGGCACUGCUUAUUUGCAA
Molecule: long non-coding RNA, 894 nt
Organism: Mesocricetus auratus (golden hamster)
Lineage: Eukaryota; Metazoa; Chordata; Mammalia; Rodentia; Cricetidae
Exons: 3
Source: RefSeq, a predicted model, not a curated record